RNAcentral lists this small RNA (132 nucleotides) under Klebsiella quasipneumoniae subsp. similipneumoniae. Its description in RNAcentral is "RtT sRNA". It matches the Rfam family "RtT RNA". Rfam says of the family: This family represents a bacterial cis-regulatory element known as RtT RNA. The exact function of RtT is unknown although it is thought that it may be involved in changing the cellular response in relation to amino acid starvation. The record is from RNAcentral. Lineage: Bacteria; Pseudomonadati; Pseudomonadota; Gammaproteobacteria; Enterobacterales; Enterobacteriaceae.
UAUUCUGCCCUACGGGGAAGGAUGAGAAGCUUCGACCAAGGUUCGACUCGAGCGUAGCGAGAGAACGUUGCCGAAGGCAACGGCCCGAAGGGCGAGGCGCUUUAGCGCCGAGUCAUCCUUCCCCCACCGCUG